AUAACCGGUUACGGGCUUCGAAAACAACCCAUAUUUUUCGUCGUUGGAGUCCUUCCGGACUUCUGAUUUUGAUUUUGUAAAAACCUCCGAUCUCAGAAUUCGACAUACUAUAAUUAUUCCGUGAUUAAAAUAACAAAUUCACGUUAUAUCACAGAUUAGCAUAAAAAAUCAUUUAUUCUCAUCAAUUCAUAUGUACUCCAAACCU
This 205-nucleotide long non-coding RNA is filed under the name Lathyrus oleraceus (garden pea). RNAcentral describes it as "Pisum sativum (pea) long non-coding RNA (PSAT_LNC017497)". Lineage: Eukaryota; Viridiplantae; Streptophyta; Magnoliopsida; Fabales; Fabaceae. The record is from RNAcentral.